RNAcentral lists this ribosomal RNA (253 nucleotides) under uncultured bacterium. RNAcentral describes it as "partial 16S ribosomal RNA". It matches the Rfam family "Bacterial small subunit ribosomal RNA", at positions 524 to 776 of the family's 1533-position model. The record is from RNAcentral.
UACGUAGGGGGCAAGCGUUAUCCGGAAUCAUUGGGCGUAAAGCGCGUGUAGGCGGUUCCGUAAGUCCGCUCUGAAAGCCCAGGGCUCAACCCUGGGAGGCGGGUGGAUACUACGGAACUGGAGUACGGAAGAGGAGAUUGGAAUUCCUGGUGUAGCGGUGAAAUGCGCAGAUAUCAGGAGGAACACCAACAGCGAAGGCAGAUCUCUGGGACGUUACUGACACUGAGACGCGAAAGCGUGGGGAGCAAACAGG